GUCCACGCCCUAAACGAUGUCAACUGGUUGUUGGGAAUUCACUUUCUCAGUAACGAAGCUAACGCGUGAAGUUGACCGCCUGGGGAGUAUGGCCGCAAGGUUGAAACUCAAAGGAAUUGACGGGGACCCGCACAAGCGGUGGAUGAUGUGGUUUAAUUCGAUGCAACGCGAAAACCUUACCCACCUUUGACAUGUACGGAAGAUUGCAGAGAUGCGAUUGUGCUCGAAAGAGAACCGUAACACAGGUGCUGCAUGGCUGUCGU
This 263-nucleotide ribosomal RNA is filed under the name uncultured bacterium. RNAcentral's name for it is "partial 16S ribosomal RNA". It matches the Rfam family "Bacterial small subunit ribosomal RNA", at positions 793 to 1055 of the family's 1533-position model. The record is from RNAcentral.